This 1286-nucleotide long non-coding RNA is filed under the name Salmo salar (Atlantic salmon). RNAcentral describes it as "lncRNA (ENSSSAG00000100893.1, ENSSSAG00075059086.1)". Lineage: Eukaryota; Metazoa; Chordata; Actinopteri; Salmoniformes; Salmonidae. The record is from RNAcentral.
CAAAUCUGUAACUAGGCCACUCAGGAAUAUUCAAUGUCCUCUUGGUAAGCAACUCCAAUGUAUAUUUGGCCUUGUGUUUUAGGUUAUUGUCCUGCUGAAAGGUACAUUUGUCUCCCAGUGUCUGUUGGAAAGCAGACUGAACCAGGUUUUCCUCUAGGAUUGUGCCUGUGCUUAGCGUUAGACCGUUUUUUUAUCCUAAAAAGUGUCCUACUCCUAGCCAAUGACAAGCAUACCCAUAACAUGAUGCAGCCACCGCCAUUCUUGAAAAUAUGAAGAGUGGUACUCAGUGAUGUGAUGCGUUGGAUUUGCCCAAAACAUAAUGCUUUGUAUUCAGGACAUAAAGUUAAUUUCUUUGCCACAUGUUUUUCAGUUUUACUCUAGUGCCUUAUUGCAAACAGGAUGCAUAUUUUGGUAUAUGUUUAUUCUGUACAGGCUUCCUUCUUUUCACUCUGUCAUUUAGGUUAGUGUUGUAGAGUAACUUCAAUGUUGUUGAUCCAAUCUCUGUUUUCUCCUACAGUGUCACAGCCAUGAAAUUACCUGAAACUCUAACUGUUUUAAAGUAUAUUUUUUUGUGAUUGAGUGUAUUGAUACACAAUCCAAGUGUAAUUAAUAACUUUUUAUUUUUAACCAUCUACCAAUAGGUGCCCUUCUUUGUGAGGCAUUGGAAAACCUCCAUGGUCUUUUUGGUUGAAUCUGUGUUUGAAAGUCACUGCUCGACUGAGGGACUUUACAGAUAAUUGGAUGUGUGGGGUACAGAGAUGAGGUAGUCAUUCAAAAAUCAUAUUAAACACAAUUAUUGUAUACAGAGUGAGUCCAUGCAAUUUAUUAUGUGACUUGAUAAGCAAAUGUCUACUUAUUUAUGCUUGCCAUAGCAAAAGGGUGAAUGCUUAUUGACUCGAGAUUUCGUUUUUCAUUUUUAAUUAAUAUGUAAACAUUUCUAAAAACAUAAUUCCACUUGGACAUUAUGGGGUAUUGUGUGUAGGGCAGUUAGACAAAAUCUAAAUGUAAUCAAAUUUAAAUUCAUGCUGUAACACAAAAAAAAUGGAGUUGAUGGGUGUUGUCACGUCCUGACCAUUGUAAGUUGUUAUUUUCUAUGGUUGAGUAGGUCAGGACGUGACAGGGGGUGUUUGUCUAUGUUUUGUAUUUCUAUGUUCAGUUUCUAGUUUUGUAUUUCUAUGUUGGUCAUAUUUAAGCUGAUGUUUGUCCCACCCAUUUUUGUAGGUGAUUAUCUUUUGAGUAGUGUUUAUUUCUCUCUGUGUCACGGUUUGCUGUUUUUGUUAUUCUAG